GGGCGCGGAGACUGCGCGGCCCGGGCGAUCGGCGGCGCCUCCGCCUCCACCUCGGGCUCCGGCUCGGCUCGGCGGCGGCCGCGGCUGCCUGCGCGAGAUCAACAAGUCGGGCUGAGCUUCGGCUCCGCGCUCGCUGCGAUUCUGUCCCGCACUUCGGAGCGCGGCGAGUGGCACCGAGGCGGGACGGCGCCACCUGCGGGUCGGAAGCGCGCGCGGCUUAACCCCUCCGUGCCCGGCCGGGCCCUGGCCCAGGCCGCGGGGCCCACCCGGGCGGGCUGUCUGCGUCCCGGCCACCACGAGGCUGAGCGCCUACUGCAUGCAGGCUCUGCGCGUAGAUUCAGCUGCGAAGACAACCAGCCUCCGGGUCGCGGGGCUGCCGGGAGAGCGACUGUAAACAGAAGUAGGGGACUAUGUCAGACAAGCUAGAUGCUGGGAGGAUGGGAGAGCUGGAGAAGGCAGGGGGCAGUUUUAAUGGCCCUUGCUUGGAUUCCACUGCAGAUUCUAAAAUCAAAUUCUAGGUUCUAGAAGAAGGUGGACAGUAUGUCUAUCCACAAACAAACAUGCGAACCGAGUGGGCAGGUGGGUGGUUGGGGCUGAGGAGAAGCGUAAGGCCAGAGGAGGGGGCAGUGAGGACUCAGCUUAUAUGGCCUGAUCAGUCACUCACCCAUUCAUGCCAGCUUGGACGGCUGCUUCUGAAGAGCUAAGUGUCAGGCUCAACCAAGGGAUCCCCCGGCCCUGCCUCACUCUGUGCAGUGGGGCAGGCACCUUCUAUCAGGCCAUCUCGGAGUGACUGUGGGGUGGGAAGGUUUGCAUGCAGAAGGGCCAGGCUUCCCUCCAAUCGCUCACACUUGGGCCCUGCCUGUUCUUUACUGGUUCGUUCUCUCACAUACGUAUCUGUUGUGUAGUAUUAAGGUGGCAGGGAUGCAGAAGAGAGCCGUGCCCUGGAGAGGGAAAACUUAAUGAGACUUAGUGCCCCAAGAUACGGACGGCCCUUCCCCUUUCCACUCUUGGCCUCCUUCCCAACUGCAUCACACAGAACUGUUUGUAGAAACCUAUCCACUCUCCUCAGUUCCAUCAUCAUGACGCAGCCCAAGCUGCCACUGCCUUCUCUCCCCGUGACCUCUGCUCUGAGCUCCCCCAUCCCUCUCUGCCUCCCACAGGUCACGAUGAUAGCCACGGCUGUCAGAAUGAAUGUUCCCUUUGCUGAACUGAAUGUGGCUGUCACUGGAGGAAAGCCUUCCCAGGGUUUUUCCUUGCUCUGGCCUGAUAGAUCUGGUUCAGUCCCUCCCUCUUCGUCUCAGCUUGCCCACCAUGGAAGCAAGACAAGCAACUAAACGUAUUUUUAUUUAUUUAUUUUUUAACGAGAAGGUUUCAGCCAAUCAUGAGUGCUAACAGGAAAUCCUGAGUUCAGUGAUGGGGAGGGGCGGGCUAUACUGAGAGCUUUACCUGGGUGGUCAGGGAGGGCGUCUCAGAGGUGGAAGACAGACUCCACAGGUAAGAAGGGAGUCAGCUUUGGGGAGAUAAGAGGAGUUUCCAGGCAGAGUGUGUCCAGGUUAGAGGUCAAGGGCAAAUGAGGAACAGCCACUCCCUGGCCACAACAAAUCGGCAUAGAAAAUACAAGACGUUUUCCUUCCCUAUUGUGCCGUGGGGUGUGUGUGUGUGUGUGUGUGUGUGUGUGUGUGUGUGUGCGUGUGCGUGUGCGUGUGUGCGCGCGCGCACAUGUGUACUUGCCACAAAUUAAAAUCACCUGAGCAGGGAGCCUCACUUGAGGAAUUGUCUUAAUUUUCUUAAUUGAUGUGGGAGGACCUACCCUGAUGUGGGCAGCACCGACUGGUAGCAGCCCAGAUUGAAGGGUGUGGAGGAAGGAAGAUGCCUCGCCUUUUGUUGCCUUGGCCUUGCCUCUUGCUGCAGAGCUGAUGGAUGCUGCUGCUGCUGCUGCUGCUGAUGCUGAUGAUGAUGAUGACGACGACGAUGAUGAUUUCCUCACUGGUAUCAGAACCAGCGAUUUCAGGCGUCCAUCAUGAACUAAGGACCUUUAAGUCUCCAGGAACCUCCAGAUUUUUGGUGCCGGCUUGGGACUGCUGAGACACCUCAAGGACCAAGAAACUACCAGAUUCUCAGCCUCAUGGUAUUGGGACUAUAUUCAGAAAUAAUACAGGAUGCGUGCGCUCAUGUGUGUGUAUGCAUAUGGAGGCCAGAGGUCAGCCCUGGGUAUGUUCCUUAGGCGGCAUCCACCUUUUUUAUUUUAUUUAUUUGUUUAGAGAUAGCUUCUCUCAUUGGCUGGGAACUCACCAAAUAGGCUAGGCUGGCUGGCCAGUGAGCCCUGGGGCUCUGCCUGACUCUGCUGCUUCAGCCUUGGGGUUUUAAACAUACAUUUCAAUGCUGGUUUUUUGUUUUUGUUUGAUUCCAUGGGUUCUGGAGAUUGGACUCGGGUCCUGUACUUGUGAGGGAGGCACUUUACCGACUGCCGUUCCCCCAGUCCCCUUCAUUUCUUCCUUCCUUACCCUCCCACUCCCGAGACUGCUUCCUACCUCAUGGGCAGCACUUGUUUCCUGGUUAGUGGAUUUUAUGUUUUGUUUUUUCUGUGUGAAAUCUUGAAAAAAAUGGUGUUUUGUGUCUAUAUCUCAACUCAUACUUUUUGUUUGUUUGUUUUUUAUUUGUUUUGUUUUGCCUCCCCCCAACCCCCGAAAAUAUUUGACUAUGUAGCCCAGGCUGGAUUUGAACUCGCCAUGCUCUCUGUCUUGUCCUUCUGAGGGGUACGGGAUUACAGGUUUACCUGCCGGCACCAUUAGGCACACUUCACCUUACCCAUGUGCUCUGUGCUAUGACACUCUAAGGUUGUUUCUUAUCUUCAGGAGAGCUACUCACAUUGAUGUGGGUUCACCAGUCCUCACACUGAGUGUCCUUCUUCACUGUCCAGUCCCUCAAAGUCACUUGUAGUCCUAGUACUUAGUGGACUCACCUGAGAGCACCUUCUCAUAUCUGCUCACAGACCAGUGACAUGAUUUCUUUCCAAGGUCUCUUGUAGCCCAGGUGGGCCUUGAACUUGGUUACAUAGCCAAGGAUGAGUUUGGAUUUCUGAUCCUCCUGCCUUCGCCUCCUAAGUGCUGAGAUUCCAGGCAUGCACCACCACACCUGAUUUACACAGCGCUAGAAAUGAGCCCAGUGCUCUAUCCACUGAGCCUUGUCCCCGGCCCUGACACGGUGACUUUGUAAACACGCUUCCUGAGCCUUUGGAACAAUGUGUCCCAGGGUGUGUACACUCUUGACUAAGUGCACCCAGACUCAGCUGCCUCUGGUGGCAUCUCCUCUAAAGUGCUGGGAGUCCUUCGGCCUCCAUUAGCUUUUAUCCAGAGAGUGGAGCGUUGAAUGUCUAGUGUGUGCCAGCAAACAGCUCAGUGCACUGAAAUGUCCCUUUCAUUGACUAUUGAUGAAUCUCAGGUUUGCUUAUAUGCAUUUGAGUUUGUGUGUGUGUGUGUGUGUGUGUGUGUGUGUGUGUGUGUGAGAGAGAGAGAGAGAGAGAGAGAGAGAGCUGUUGUGGUGAUGGUGGCUGUUGUGGUAGUUGUUAUUGUUAUGGCUGCUAUGGUGGUGACUGUUGUUAUGGGUAUAGUUAUGGUUGUAGUAGUGGUUGUUGUUACAGUGUGGUGGUGGUAGCUAUUGUUAUAACUGUAGUUGUAGUUGUUAUGGUUGGGGGAUGUUGUUAUGGUUGUUAUUACUGUGGUUGUUGUUAUGGUUGUUUGGUGGCUGUUGCUGUGGUUGUUAUGAUUAUGGUUGUUGUAGUGGUAGUGACUGUUGUGGUUGUGUUGGUGAUGGCUGUUGUUUUAGUUUUGUUUGUAGUUGCUAUGGUUGAGAGGUUGUUAUGAUUGUGGUUUUGUUUUAAUUGUAGUUGGUGGUUGUUGCUGUGGUUGCUAUUAUGGUUGUGGUUGUUAUGCUUGAUGAUUGUUGUUACUGUGGGUGUUGUUAUAAUUAUGGUUGCUAUUGUGGUUGGUGGUUAUUAUCAUGGUUGCUAUUAUGAUUGUGCCUGUUGUUAUGACUGGUGAUUGUUGCUGUGGUUGUUGUUACGAUUGUGCCUGUUAUUAUGGCUGGUGAUUGUUGAUGUGGUUGUUGUUAUGGUUGUGGUUGUUAUUAUGCCUGGUGGUUGUUGCUGUGGUUGUUGUUAUGGUUGUGGUUGUUAUUAUGGCUGGUAGUUGUUGUUAUGGUUGUGGUUGUUAUUAUGGCUGGUGGUUGUUGUUAUGGUUGUGGUUGUUAUUAUGGCUGGUGGUUGUUGCUGUGGUUGUUGUUAUGGUUGUGGUUGUUAUUAUGGCUGGUGGUUGUUGUUGUGGUUGUGGUUGUUUAGUGGCUGUUGCACUGCUUGUCACUGUAGUUGUUGGUUUUCAGGACUCCUUUACAUGAUCUAGAUGCUAAAUCCCUCCUGGACUUUGGAUGUCUAUUCUGUCACCUGCAUAUUAAUUUUUUGCUUGUGGUAUCUUUUGUUUCCAGAACAUUAUUUGAGGGGCCUGUGAGAUGGCUCAGCAAUGCUUGACCCCAAAUCUGGCAACCAUCCUCCUGCCUCAGACUCCUGAUUAGCUGGGAUGACAGGCCUGAGCCACCAGUUCUUGUUUUUUUGGCAACCAUCCUUGGGGCAAGCCACUUUCCCACACUGGACUGAGGGGUUGCCUUUGUCCUCUGCAGCCCCUCAGGUCUACUGCCUGCCCGUCUGGUCUUUGUGUCCUCCUGCACAUGUGACCCUCAUCUGAGUAGCAUGGGGUUCUACAUGCUGAGGUCAUGAGGCCUCUCUCUCUGCUCUUCUGUUUUAGGGUGAGUAUCUACCCUCUUCUUUCAGUGAGUUCCAAAGGGACAAUCAUGCAACCCUGGAUGUCAUUUUGUAUUCCCAAACAGCAGCCUGUCACCAGCUCCUACCCAGAGCUCCCAUCUACCCAGGGAACCCUUGAAAACUGCAGUCUCCAGGAAGAAACCUGGCUUGAAAGCCCAGAAAAGCUCUUCUCCCCAAAAAGGAGGCAGAUGUUUCAUUGUUUAUCCCAGAGGACAUGUGACAACAUCCGCACAGGGGUUUGGUUAUCACAACUCUGGGGGAGGGGACAUCUUCCUGGUGUUUAGUUGGCGAAGGCAAGGGGAUGUCGCUAAACAUCAUGCUGUGCACAGAAUGGUUCUUCACCUUGAUAAUAAAUGUAGCUGCUGCCCUGCAAGUCAAUAGUACCAAGCCUGAGAAACCCCACGUAAGCCUCUUGGAAGGCAAAGGUGUUUCCCAACCUAGAACUGCUCUUCUCACAGUCCACAGUGAGCGUCUCCUUUGUGACACACUGAAGACACAGGGCAAGAAAAACAGACAUCACUCAAUGCCUGUAUAGUUGGUAAACAUACAGGUCAACCAGUCAGAGCAUCCAGCUGUAGUAAGUACCGUGAUGAAAAGCACCAGGAGGGAGCAAGGCACAUGACUGAUGGAGGUAUCAGCAGUGUUGGAGGAGGUGGUCCAGGGAGGCUUCCUGACGAGGCAGUUACAGGGAAACUGAGUAUCACAGGGGGACAUCAACCUUGUGAAUGCUGAAGAAGGAGGUACAUCAGGGAAGUCCCCAGAGCCCAGGCCCUGAGCAUGUAAUGUUUGAGAAUAUCUAGAUUCAGGGCCUUUUGUUUUCAAGAAGGAAGGAGUCUGAGUUUCCUUGUGUUGGGAAGCCCUGGCAGUUUUCCACAGAAGGGUCCCAGGCACUCAGGCUCAAGUGAGUCCUCCAUCAAAGGGGGCACCAGGGAGAACUGAGUAAUGCAAGGUAGUCUCAGGAGACUCAGAAGAAGGCUCCUGCAAUUGUCCAGACCAAAUGUAAUGAGCCCUGGACCAAGUGGUAGGCAAUUCACUAGCCAUAGGCCUCUGCAGAGAUUCUUCUGCAAGUCCAUGGCCAUCGCCAAAGACCCUGUGUGAUUGGGUCACCCUGCCACACCUACAAAGUUUAGCUGCCAGCUUAGGGGGGAAGCAUGCAGAUCCCCUUGCACCUAAAAAUGCAGAGGGGCUGGCUCUGUCAGGCCCCAUGCAGCCCUGUGGCUGUGUGUCUGCAUGUUCACUCAACAAGGAGUAGUGGAAAGUUCCUUCAGGUGGCAGUGUGGCCUCGUGGCAAAGAGAGAGGACUCCUGGGCAGAAUGGCUGGUACAGAAGGGUGAUCUAGCCUCUCUGAACUGUAACUUUCCCACCUUUAAGAUGAGUAGCCAUAGAGAGAGCAUCUGCUUUAUUAGGCUAUGAGGGGAUUGAUUGAUUGAUUGAUUGAUUUUUGUUUUUCGAGACAGGGUUUCUCUGUGUAGCUUUGAAGCCUUUCCUGGAACUCGCUCUGUAGCACCAGGCUGGCCUCAAACUCACAGAGAUCCGCCUGCCUCUGCCUCCCAAGUGCUGGGAUUAAAGGCAUGUGCCACAACCUCCUGGCUAUAAGGGGAUUUUUAAAAAUUCUCUUGUUAUGUAUAUUUGUGCAUAUGUGGGUAUGUAUGUUGAGGACAGAGGUCAAUGUUGGGUGUCUAUGAGAAAUAUUUUUUUUAAGAUUUAUUUAUUUUUAUGUAUACAACUGCUCUAUCUGCAUGUAUACUUGCAUGCCAGAAGAGGGCAUCAGAUCCCACUAUAGAUAGUUGUGAGCCACCAUGUGGUUGCUGGGAAUUUGAACUCAGGACCUCUGGAAGAGCAGCCAGUGCUCUUAACCACUGAGCCAUCUCUCCAGCCCCGAGAAAAAAUUAAUUUCAUUUAAUUUAAUGUGUAUGGGUGUUUUGCCUGCACAUAUAUUUGUGCACCGUGUGCGUGCCCGCAGAGAGUAUUGGAUCCCCUGAGCUGGAGUUACAGAUGCUUGUGAACCACCCUGUAGGUGCCGGGAGUAGAACCCAGGUCCUCCAGAAGAGCUGCCAGUGCUCUUAACCGCUGAGCCAUCCUUCCAGACCCUAUGAGGAACUUUUUAAAGCCCUUUACCACUAAUGGCUCUGUCUGGUCAACUGCAGGUCGCUGAGGCAACUUGGGGUUGCUAAGGGAGGGGCUUCUGUGUCCAGCUCGACCUAAGUAACCAGAACGCUUAGCUGGUGGAGGAGGAGGCUCUGUCAGUAAAGUGCUCAUGCACAAGCACGAGGACCCGAGUUCACAUCCCCAGGAUGCACAGGAAAGUCAGGAGUGAGUUCACAUCCCCAGGAUGCACAGGAAAGUCAGGAGUGAGUUCACAUCCCCAGGAUGCACAGGAAAGUCAGGAGUUCACAUCCCCAGGAUGCACAGGAAAAUCAGGAGUGAGUUCACAUCCCCAGGAUGCACAGGAAAGUCAGCGCGCACUUGUAGUCCCAGCACUAGGGAAGCAGAGACGGGGGACUCCUGGAGCGAGCUCACUGGCCAUCUGGCCGAGCAGGAUCAGGAAGCUCCAGGUUCAGUGAGAGACGCUGCUUUACCCUGUGUGGAGUGUGACUGGAGAAGACACCUGGCGUCAGUCUCUGACAUCCACAUGCACAUACAUGUGAACACGCACAAAACAUACCACACACACAAAUAGAAAACAGAAUAAGUAACUGUUUUAAAAAUGCCUAACUAGCCGUGUGGUGGUGGUGCACGCCUUUAAUCCCAGCACUCGGGAGGCAGAGCCAGGCGGAUCUCUGUGAGUUCGAGGCCAGCCUGGACUACCAAGUGAGUUCCAGGAAAGGCGCAAAGCUACACAGAGAAACCCUGUCUCGAAAAACCAAAAAAAAAAAAAAAAAAAAAAAAAAAAGCCUAACUAAUCCAUGCAGAAGCUUGGGGAGCCUAGGAGGGAUCGCUCCCACCAUUUUGUUUUGCCUCCCUCACAUAGAGGCUCUCUGUUCCUAGGCAUGGUGCUUGAUCCUUGCAAAAAGACCACUGCUGUGCCAGACGUCAGCCUUCACGAAAACAUUCAAAGUAAGGUGACCAGAUGGGGGGAAGCCUCUUGUCCUCCACAGCUGAGUCCACCUGGAAAUAAAGUUGUCACAGGGUAAAGUGGAGCUGAACGGGGUCUAUCAUUAGGGCUCCUGAAUCCAGCCACUCCUGAAGCCAGCAUCCCUGGAUUCCCAGUUAUGUGUGCUGUGAAAUAACUCCUUCUGUCCUGCCCGCUAUCAGUCGGUCAUCCAUAUCCAAAGGAUCUUAACCAGUGGCAGUCCUCUCUCCAUAGACCAGAUAUUUUCUUAGCUUAGGGGAGAAAUUAGACAUAUAAGAAAUAGGAAAGGGGGCUGGAGAGGUGGCUCAGUGGUUGCUCUGGCAGGGGACCCGAGUUCCAUGCUCAGCACCCAAAUCGGACAGCUUUACAAACUCCUGUUAACUCCAGCUCUAGUGAUCCUGACACCUCUGUCUUCCUUGAGGCACCUGCACUCACGUGUACACACACAUGCGCGCACACACACACACAUAAUUAAAAAUAAAAUAAAUCUUUAAAAAAAAAUAAGAGAACCCGGGAGAAACCUGGCAUGAUGGUGGCUCACACCUGUAUUCCUACCAUUCAGGAGGCAGGAGCAUCAAAAUCACAACCCACUGUAACCCCAGUCCCAGGGGAUCUGAUGCCCUCUUCCGACCCUGUGGGCACCAGGCAUGCACGGGGUACACAGACAUACAUGCAGGCAAAUCACCCAUACACAUUUAAUUAGUUAAUUAAAUUAAAAGUUCAAAGUCAUCUUAGCUUAAGUAGUUAGUUCAAGGCCAUCCUGGGCUAUGUGAGAUCAUGUCUCAAACAAACCCAAUAAACAAUCAGGAAGGAAGCAGUGGAGGGAGGGAGGGAGGGAGAGAAAAUGAACUACAACUGGAAUAUUCUAUAACGAAGGGACCCUGCAUAGCCCUCUGAUUUAAAGACAAGCCACAACAUUUGUGGAGGGGCAGCAUCCCAGUGCAGCCAAGUUCUAACACCAGACUGUCUGAUUCCAGGCCACUGCUCUCUCAAAACAUGUCUGCCGAGGCGUCAGCCUGGCAUCUCGAUGGGAGGAGCCGAGAUCCACCCCUGCCAGUCCUCCGACAGUGCUGGCAAGAGGCUCCUUGUUCGAAGUCUGGCCUUCUCUGGAUUCCAUGAUACCAUCCAUCAUUUAUGUCCCACUGGGAAGCCUGCUCAGGUUUCUUGGAGUUUCUGGGUAGAGUAAGGCUACUUAAUACUGUACCCCCCUGCCCCCCACCCUGUACUGGCUGGUUUUGUGUGUCAACUUGACACAAGCUAGAGUCAUCAGAGAGGAAGGAGCCUCAGUUGAGAGAAGGUCUCCAUGAGAUCCAACUCUCAGACAUUUUCUCAAUUAGUGAUCAGUGGGGGAGGGCCCAGACUGUUGUGGGUGGCGCCAUCCCUGGUCCUGGGUUGUAUAAGAAAGCAGGCUGAGCAAGCCAUGUGGAGCAAGCCAGUAAGCAGCACUCCUCCAUGGUUUCUGCAUCAGCUCCUGCCUCCAGGUUCCUGCCCUGCUUGAGUUCCUGUCCUGACUUCCUUCAGUGAUGAACAGCAAUGUGGAAGUGCACUGAGGACAACAAUAUAAACGAGACCAUUAAACUGUUGGGUGACCCUGAGUGACCCAGUGUCCGAGUCUAGUCCCUCUACAUAGCCCAGGCUGGCCUCACACUUGCCAUCCUCCUGCCUCAGCUGUGAGCCAGGGAACUCCAAGACACACAAGGAGAGUCAGCAAAAGGAGAAACCAAAGCCGCAGGGAUCCAGGGCUAGCAAGCGGAUGCUCCUGAUAGAUUUUCGUGAGAGCUCAACUUCCGUGUCCUUCAGGCCUGGGGCUUCUCCUACCUCCUCUCCUCUCUACUGUCCUUGGCUAGUGCUCCCGGCUGUCCACCUCCCUCCCCAUCUCUCUUCUUAACCCUCCCUCCCAGCUCCCCCAUUUAUCGCCCUUCACCCCAGCUGUUCACAA
Long non-coding RNA from Peromyscus californicus insignis, 9825 nucleotides. RefSeq lists it as uncharacterized. The transcript has 4 exons. The record is from RefSeq and is a predicted model, not a curated record. NCBI's taxonomy places the organism in Eukaryota, Metazoa, Chordata, Mammalia, Rodentia, Cricetidae.